AAGGAAGGCAGCAGGCACGCAACUUACCCACUCCCGACACGGGGAGGUAGUGACGAAAAAUACCAAUACGGGACUCUGUCGAGGCUCCGGCAUUGGAAUGAGUACACUUUAAAUCCUUUGCUGAGGAUCAAUUGGAGGGCAAGCCUGGUGCCAGCAGCCGCGGUAAUUCCAGCUCCGAUGGCAUAUAUUAAAGUUGUUGCAGUUAAAAGGCUCGUAGUUGGAUCUCAGCCGCACUAGCGAGGUGCACUUGACGGUGUAUCCACGCGACUGUACUACUUUGGCCACGCGUGCCCUGGUGGUCUUCGUUGACCGCCUCGGGCGUGCUGGCGUCUUUUACUUUGAAAAAAAUAGAGUGUUCACAGCGGCCACACUGAUGGUUGUAUAAAGUUGCAUGGAAUAAUGAAAGAGGACCUCGGCUCAUUUCGUUGGCUUCGAUGAGUCCGAGGUAAUGACUAAUCAGAGCGGCCGGGGGCAUUCGUAUUACGACGGGAGAGGUGAAAUUCUACGAUCGUCGUAAGACGGACGGCAGCGAAAGCGUUUGUCAAGAACGUUUUCAUUAGUCAGGAACGAAAGUUAGAGGCUCGAAGACGAUCAGAUACCGUCGUAGUUCUGACCGUAAACGAUGCCAGAUGACAAUCUGUCGAAGUUAGAUCCGCAUGACUCGGCAGGCAGCCAGACCGGGAAACCAAAACGUUUGGGCUCUGGGGGAAGUAUGGUUGCAAAACUGAAACUUAAAGGAAUUGACGGAAGGGCACCACCAGGAGUGGAGCCUGUGGCUUAAUUUGACUCAACACUGGGCAACUCACCCGGUCCGAACAGUUGCGAGGAUUGACAGAUUGAUAGCUCUUUCUCGAUUCAGUGGAUGGUGGUGCAUGGCCGUUCUUAGUUCGUGGAACGAUUUGUCUGGUUAAUUCCGAUAACGAACGAGACUCUAGCCUAUUAAAUAGUUGUGCGAUACUUCGGUAGUCGGCAACAUACAACUUCUUAGAGGGACAUGUGGCGUUUAGGCACACGAGAAUGAGCAAUAACAGGUCUGUGAUGCCCUUAGAUGUUCGGGGCCGCACGCGGGCUACAAUGUUGGUAUCAGCGUGUAUCAUCCUGACCCGAAAUGGUUGGGCAAGCCCAUGAAAUGCGAAUUCAGUCGGGAUUGGGGCCUGUAACGGUGCCUCAUGAACGUGGAAUUCCAAGUAAGCAGGAGUCAACAGCUUCUGUUGACAGAGUCCCUGCCCUUUGUACACACCGCCCGUCGCUACUACCGAUGAACGGUUUGGUGAGACCUCUGGAUUCGCCAGUGGGGUUUCGCGCCUCGUUUGCUGGUGGAGAAGUUGGUCGAACUUGGUCGUUUAGAGGAAGUAAAAGUCGUAACAAGGUUUUC
Molecule: ribosomal RNA, 1375 nt
Filed under: Cocculina sp. MCZ:Mala:378323
Lineage: Eukaryota; Metazoa; Mollusca; Gastropoda; Cocculinidae
Description: SSU rRNA
Rfam family: Eukaryotic small subunit ribosomal RNA
Source: RNAcentral